Molecule: unclassified non-coding RNA, 378 nt
Filed under: plant metagenome
Description: partial contains 5.8S ribosomal RNA, internal transcribed spacer 2, and large subunit ribosomal RNA
Rfam family: 5.8S ribosomal RNA (bases 1-105)
Source: RNAcentral
GAAAUGCGAUAAGUAAUGUGAAUUGCAGAAUUCAGUGAAUCAUCGAAUCUUUGAACGCACCUUGCGCUCCUUGGUAUUCCUUGGUGCAUGCCUGUUUGAGUAUCAUGAAAUCUUCAAAGUAAAUCUUUUGUUAACUCAAUUGGUUUCUACUUUGGUAUUGGAGGUCUUUGCAGCUUCACACCUGCUCCUCUUUGUUCAUUAGCUGGAUCUCAGUGUUAUGCUUGGUUCCACUCGGCGUGAUAAGUUAUCUAUCGCUGAGGACACUGUAAAAGGUGGCCAAGGUAAAUGCAGAUGAACCGCUUCUAAUAGUCCAUUGACUUGGACAAUACUUUUAUGAUCUGAUCUCAAAUCAGGUAGGACUACCCGCUGAACUUAAGC